Molecule: long non-coding RNA, 589 nt
Organism: Brassica oleracea var. oleracea
Lineage: Eukaryota; Viridiplantae; Streptophyta; Magnoliopsida; Brassicales; Brassicaceae
Exons: 2
Source: RefSeq, a predicted model, not a curated record
UAUCAAUCUCCAGAUUCCAGUUAUUCAUCCAUCGUUUAUAUUUGCCAUCUUAUUGAUCCACACUCAAAAAGAAAGAAAAACACACUUUCUCUACUACUCAAAUUCACAAAUAAUGUGUUUAUAUUCAAUGUUUUAUCUUCCACGCAAACAAUUUUUUUUUCUUACUCAGUCUCUCAUGAUCUCACUCUUUAAUAAGCAGUGUCAGUAUAUUAAGCCUCGCUCUCUCACAUGCAAGGUUUCCGUUCGAAGAACUCAGCCUCAGGUACAUUUCUGGAACGAAUAAAAACAGAAACGAGAAAGAAGAAGACUAAAGACAAAUUUGGCAUUAACAAGAACGACUUAGGCCAACAGAUAAUCAAGCAAAACAAAAAUCUCAAACUACAAAAAGACAAAGAGCGCUCUUUACAACAAACGGAGUGUAAGAGCAGAACGUACGUAAUCUAAAAAUAAGUGGUAUCAUUAGUUAUUCUCUUAUUAUUUCUCUUUUAUGUUACUCUUCAAAACUUUGCUUUGUUUUUGUAACCGUUGGAAGUUUGCAGAAAUACCUAACACUGUACCCGAAAAAUGAUGUGAUCUAUCUUUCAUAAGA